GACGAACGCUGGCGGCGUGCUUAACACAUGCAAGUCGAACGGAAAGGCCCUGUUUUGGUGGGGUGCUCGAGUGGCGAAGGGGUGAGUAACACGUGAGUAACCGGCCCGUGACUUUGGGAUAACUUCAGGAAACUGGGGCUAAUACCGGAUACGACCUCCUGCUGCAUGGUGGGGGUUGGAAAGUUUUGGCGGUUGGGGAUGGACUCGCGGCUUAUCAGCUUGUUGGUGGGGUAGCGGCUUACCAAGCCUCUGACGGUCAGCCGGCCUGAGAGGGUGACCGGCCAGGUUGGGACGGGAGAAGGGCCCCAGCUCCAGCGGGGGGAGGUGGGGGGGGAUUUUGCACAGUGGGCGGAAGCUGGUUGCGGCACCGCCGCGUCCGGGAUCACGGCCUCAGGGUUGUAACCCGCUUCCGCCUGUGAGGAAGCGUGCGUGACGGUAAUGGGUAAAGAAGCACCGGCUAACUACGUG
This 468-nucleotide ribosomal RNA is filed under the name uncultured bacterium. Its description in RNAcentral is "partial 16S ribosomal RNA". It matches the Rfam family "Bacterial small subunit ribosomal RNA", at positions 28 to 507 of the family's 1533-position model. The record is from RNAcentral.